RNAcentral lists this long non-coding RNA (1078 nucleotides) under Struthio camelus australis. Its description in RNAcentral is "lncRNA (ENSSCUG00000004325.1)". The record is from RNAcentral. Lineage: Eukaryota; Metazoa; Chordata; Aves; Struthioniformes; Struthionidae.
GGUGAAGUAAAUUGAGGACCUCAUCUCCUUGGCAAUGAAAACAGAUGAGCUACACAGGAACCUAUGAAUUCUUCUUGCUUAGGUUUCCUUAAGGCUAAUUGGACCUGUGCUGCAAGUCUUCACACUGUGACCUUAUCCAUAGCCAAGAUUUAGCCAUAUCAAACACUCACGGUCAUAAGUCUACUAGACAUUUUCUGAUUGCUGGUGGCUGGAAGAGACGUACUGUGGGACCUUCCAAAGUUGAGAUGGGUUGCAAGGAAGACAGAAAAUGAAGAAAAAAACCACAUUCUUCGAAUCACAGUCUUUGUCCCAAAGGCAGCACACGCCUCUGACACCCCCGUCCACUCCUCCUGCCAGCUUCGCUCUAGAGAGAAAGCUGUGAAGAUAGAAUUGACCAGACUCCAGCUAUUUUAUGCAUACAGUAGUUUGGUCCCUUAAAAUUUGAAUUAUGGACCACAUUGCUUUCUCCUGGAAAAUCUCUCAGAAGGGGAAAAGGUAUUCCAAUGACAACAUGAGUGUGAAUUUAUGUGGAGACUAAGCGGACCCAAAAGUAUUCAUUUUGAUUUUAUUGUUAGAACUAUCCGUAGAGAACUAACCACUUCAUUAGCAUGCCCCUGGCACUGGGGCGAAGAGCUGAAGUUUCAUUCUUCCGGACAUCGUGUUACUCACUUAGCCCUCUCAUCAUCGCUAAAUACACUUUCUACUCAACACAACCAGAUCCAAUGCAGUCACCUCGUCUGAGUAACACCUUAUUUUACAGACCUGACUUGCCCCAGCAAACACUUCUGGAGUGCCAAACCAGUGAUGGUUGCUACAGUUAUUUUCUCAUCUGCUCCUGUUUCAGAGGAGGAUAUGUAUCAGAAAUAAGAAAAUGGCCUGAGAAGAAACAAGAAAGAGGUGAACUGCUAAAAGCAAUGCCAACUAUGGAAAAUUAUCAGCUACCUAAAAUCUUUUAUUUCUGUUUGUGGCACAAAAGUGUGGCUCAAAGAAUCAUACUGAAAAAAGAAAUUUUAAACAAUGUUUUGGCUAGGUACAAAUAUGAAAUAAAUGUUUUGGUUGUUUCUUGCCUUCUUUUGUU